AACCCAUAGCAAUCACAGUAGUGGCUAUGCAUAUGACAUGUUUUAAUUCUGCUUGUAACCACUUCAUGGUACGGUUAGCACUAAUCAUGGCCUUCGCUCGCCGCAACAGAGUGGGUUCUCAGAAAUCCAAGUGGCAACUGGACACCCUGUCUGCUAUGCAUGAGCUUAGACUGUGUCUCCAAGCAUGCUUAAUAAUUGUCUGAGAGUAGCAGUUUGCUCUUGUUUUAUGUAAGUGAAUUUCUCUACUGUCCUUCUGCAGGAUCCAAUUAAGCAGACGGACUCACCUAUUCUAACCUAUCUUCUUCCCAUCACUAUGUAGCAGGAAACCCCUGAAUGCAGUGUGCCUGGAAAUGGUCUUCUGAGGGACGAGCUAAGCAAACAGAAAUACCACUUCAACCACUGCUAGCAAAUGACAAGCUGCAUCCCUUCAUUCUUCUCAAAACAACCUGGCCCUUUGGUUUGGCAGGGUUGUUUGCAGGAGGAGAAAUGGAGUGUCUAAAAUAUGGCAUCCUUGUAUCUCAUUAGAAGUUUCUAUGGAUGUGAUGAUGAAUGCUGGUAUUGACUCCUGUUCAUCCCACCACUGAGCACAAACUGGAAGUGAAAAUGAAGAAGGAGGAGGUAGCAGCUGCAGUGGUCAUUCAGUUUCUCAAAUGGAGAUAGCCACAAAACUUGGGAGAGGCUGAGAAUCUCUAGGAGGCAGCAUUUGCACAGAACUAUAAGGAGAGAAAGAGGAGAUGUGCACAUAUUUUCUUAUGCCUUUUUCAAUAUGCCCUGAUCUCUGAUAACUUCCUUCUCCCUACAGUGUGUACAGCAUGAAGGCACAUGGAAGAAAAUUCCAUCCAGGAGGAAUGACUUCACAGGCUGUAAAAUAUUGCUUCUGCCCUGGCAACAAUUUUUAAUAAAGCUGGAUGUUUUUAGCAGCUAAAGUCAAAUUUGUCUUUAGCAUCCUCCCCAUUUUAGAAACAGGACUGAAUAAACAAUUCCUGUCACACAAGAAAACUCUCUUGCUCAUUGGAAUUGGUGGGCUCUUCGGCACCCUUCCUUGGACAAUGGCCACAAAACAUCACAAGACGCUGGCUGGGAACUUCAUCGGCCGAGAAGCAUGAUGUAUCACCCUCAGGAGGCACUACAGCAGUUCCAAGGGACGCACAGUUAUAUCAAACCAAGCUGAAGCUAAACUUUUUCUGAGAAAGGACACAUUUGCUUUCAGUAAAAACAUUACUGU
This 1225-nucleotide long non-coding RNA is filed under the name Manacus vitellinus (golden-collared manakin). RNAcentral describes it as "lncRNA (ENSMVIG00005012212.1)". The record is from RNAcentral. Lineage: Eukaryota; Metazoa; Chordata; Aves; Passeriformes; Pipridae.